This 512-nucleotide ribosomal RNA is filed under the name uncultured bacterium. RNAcentral's name for it is "partial 16S ribosomal RNA". It matches the Rfam family "Bacterial small subunit ribosomal RNA", at positions 28 to 523 of the family's 1533-position model. The record is from RNAcentral.
GACGAACGCUGGCGGCGUGCCUAAUACAUGCAAGUCGAGCGGAUCUUCAUUAGCUUGCUUUUGAAGAUCAGCGGCGGACGGGUGAGUAACACGUGGGCAACCUGCCUGUAAGACUGGGAUAACUUCGGGAAACCGGAGCUAAUACCGGAUAAUCCUUUUCCUCUCAUGAGGAAAAGCUGAAAGACGGUUUCGGCUGUCCCUUACAGAUGGGCCCGCGGCGCAUUAGCUAGUUGGUGAGGUAACGGCUCACCAAGGCGACGAUGCGUAGCCGACCUGAGAGGGUGAUCGGCCACACUGGGACUGAGACACGGCCCAGACUCCUACGGGAGGCAGCAGUAGGGAAUCUUCCGCAAUGGACGAAAGUCUGACGGAGCAACGCCGCGUGAGCGAUGAAGGCCUUCGGGUCGUAAAGCUCUGUUGUCAGGGAAGAACAAGUAUCGGAGUAACUGCCGGUACCUUGACGGUACCUGACCAGAAAGCCACGGCUAACUACGUGCCAGCAGCCGCGGUAA